Molecule: ribosomal RNA, 497 nt
Filed under: uncultured bacterium
Lineage: Bacteria
Description: partial 16S ribosomal RNA
Rfam family: Bacterial small subunit ribosomal RNA
Source: RNAcentral
GACGAACGCUGGCGGCGUGCCUAAUACAUGCAAGUUGAGCGAUGAAGAUUGGUGCUUGCACCUAUUUGAAGAGCAGCGAACGGGUGAGUAACGCGUGGGGAAUCUGCCUUUGAGCGGGGGACAACAUUUGGAAACGAAUGCUAAUACCGCAUAACAACUUUAAACAUAAGUUUUAAGUUUGAAAGAUGCAAUUGCAUCACUCAAAGAUGAUCCCGCGUUGUAUUAGCUAGUUGGUGAGGUAAAGGCUCACCAAGGCGAUGAUACAUAGCCGACCUGAGAGGGUGAUCGGCCACAUUGGGAAUGAGACAAGGGCCAAACUCCUACGGGAGGCAGCAGUAGGGAAUCUUCGGCAAUGGACGAAAGUCUGACCGAGCAACGCCGCGUGAGUGAAGAAGGUUUUCGGAUCGUAAAACUCUGUUGGUAGAGAAGAACGUUGGUGAGAGUGGAAAGCUCAUCAAGUGACGGUAACUACCCAGAAAGGGACGGCUAACUACGUG